This 253-nucleotide ribosomal RNA is filed under the name uncultured bacterium. RNAcentral's name for it is "partial 16S ribosomal RNA". It matches the Rfam family "Bacterial small subunit ribosomal RNA", at positions 524 to 776 of the family's 1533-position model. The record is from RNAcentral.
UACAGAGGUCUCAAGCGUUGUUCGGAUUCAUUGGGCGUAAAGAGCUCGUAGGCGGUUUGUCGCGUCUGCUGUGAAAACCCGAGGCUCAACCUCGGGCCUGCAGUGGGUACGGGCAGACUAGAGUGCGGUAGGGGAGAUUGGAAUUCCUGGUGUAGCGGUGGAAUGCGCAGAUAUCAGGAGGAACACCGAUGGCGAAGGCAGCUCGCUGGGACGGUACUGACGCUGAGGCGCGAAAGCGUGGGGAGCAAACAGG